This 331-nucleotide ribosomal RNA is filed under the name uncultured eukaryote. RNAcentral describes it as "partial 18S ribosomal RNA". It matches the Rfam family "Eukaryotic small subunit ribosomal RNA", at positions 1470 to 1796 of the family's 1831-position model. The record is from RNAcentral.
CCCUUAGAUGUUCUGGGCCGCACGCGCGCUACACUGUUCGACGCAGCGAGUCUUAACCUUGACCGAAAGGUUUGGGUAAUCUUCAGCAAAGUCGAACGUGAUGGGGAUCGAUCAUUGCAAUUAUUGAUCGUGAACGAGGAAUUCCUAGUAAGUGCAAGUCAUCAGCUUGCGCUGAUUACGUCCCUGCCCUUUGUACACACCGCCCGUCGCUACUACCGAUUGAAUGGUUUAGUGAGAUCUCUGGAUUGACGCUGGCUAGGGGGCGACCCUUGGCCAGACUGUUGAGAAACUGCUCAAACUUGAUCAUUUAGAGGAAGUAAAAGUCGUAACG